Molecule: long non-coding RNA, 501 nt
Filed under: Manihot esculenta (cassava)
Lineage: Eukaryota; Viridiplantae; Streptophyta; Magnoliopsida; Malpighiales; Euphorbiaceae
Description: long non-coding RNA (MESC_LNC002833)
Source: RNAcentral
UCCCAACUCUCAAAUCAUGCAUAAACUUGUUCUAAAACAUGCAUACACACCAUACAUUACACCUAGGGGUCUCAAACUAUCAUAUACCCCAACUACAACACUUCAAACACACAAAAAUCAACAUACAUUGUUCAUCAAAACAUCAAAACCCAUAAACUCAUCAACAAGCCUAAACAUGCAUCUCUACCCAUAAAACAACUUAAUGCUUGUUUAAAACACAUAACAAGGGUGGAUCCGAGCUUACCUCUUGAAGAAACGAGAGGAAAGGCGAUCCUAGCUUGGAGAUGGAGAGAUUGAGCUCUUUGAACCUCCAAGUACCCAAAACUUGCUCUUUACUCACAGAUCUACAAAAUAGAAGUUAAAACCCGUGAAAAUCAUGGAAGAUCUAAGGAAAACACUCAAGAUCGAGGGAGGGGUGGCGGAGACUCACCUUGGCCGACAACGGGGGAGAAAAAGCUCGCCCGUGCGGACCUAAAGGACCCUUUUAUAGGUGGCUGGCCA